AACGCACAUUGCGCCCCUUGGUAUUCCGAGGGGCAUGCCUGUUCGAGCGUCAUUACACCACUCAAGCACUGCUUGGUAUUGGGCACCCGUCCGCCGUCAAGGCGGGCGUGCCUCGAAGACCUCGGCGGGGUUUCACCAACUUCGGGCGUAGUAGAGUCAAAUCAAAACGUCUUAUAAGCUUGGGGGGACUCCAUUGCCGUAAAACCUUUUUUACAUUCUAGGUUGACCUCGGAUCAGGUAGGGAUACCCGCUGAACUUAA
Molecule: unclassified non-coding RNA, 260 nt
Filed under: uncultured fungus
Lineage: Eukaryota; Fungi
Also listed under: 1 other name
Description: partial contains 5.8S ribosomal RNA, internal transcribed spacer 2, and large subunit ribosomal RNA
Rfam family: 5.8S ribosomal RNA (bases 1-52)
Source: RNAcentral